AAACUUUCAACAACGGAUCUCUUGGUUCUGGCAUCGAUGAAGAACGCAGCGAAAUGCGAUAAGUAAUGUGAAUUGCAGAAUUCAGUGAAUCAUCGAAUCUUUGAACGCACAUUGCGCCCGCCAGCACUCUGGCGGGCAUGCCUGUUCGAGCGUCAUUG
Molecule: ribosomal RNA, 158 nt
Filed under: Pseudolachnea hispidula
Lineage: Eukaryota; Fungi; Ascomycota; Sordariomycetes; Chaetosphaeriales; Chaetosphaeriaceae
Description: 5.8S ribosomal RNA
Rfam family: 5.8S ribosomal RNA
About the family: 5.8S ribosomal RNA (5.8S rRNA) is a component of the large subunit of the eukaryotic ribosome.
Source: RNAcentral